Molecule: unclassified non-coding RNA, 626 nt
Filed under: Bombus terrestris (buff-tailed bumblebee)
Lineage: Eukaryota; Metazoa; Arthropoda; Insecta; Hymenoptera; Apidae
Description: misc RNA ENSBTSG00005031452.1
Source: RNAcentral
CUCUAGGAGCAACAACGCUACCAACAACACGGACUGGCCAACGUUAUCGGUGUUGUUACCUAAUUUCGUGGCGUACGCCGCGUUAUACCUGCGUCAGACUACUUCCUUCGGUAUAAAUUUUCCUUUUUUAAAGGGAAUAUCGUGGACAAAAGGAAUUUAACAAAAAACAGAAAGAAGAUAAAAAGACUCCCGCCUACAGUGUUGUCAGCUAAAUGUAGUCUGGUUAUGUUGCCAAGAUAUGGAAAAACGCGAAAACAAACAUUAUGCAUUUUUUGUGCUAUCGUGAACACCAGAAAAAUAUAAUGCGAAUAUCUAUAUACAGUAAAUAUUUGGUGCAACAUUUAUUUCAGUGAGAUACUUCGUUCUACGAGGGAUUUCCGGUUCCAAGCGUUCCCUUAUGGCGCGGCUACGAGGGCACGCGCGCGCUUGUUUUAGUGACACGCGUAAGGAGGCGGCAGCAAUAAGCAGCUGAAGAGACUGCUUUGUUUGUUGAACCUGAGAAAAAUCGCACGAACGAGCGUCCUUAACCCCUUAACGCGUAAAACGUGGGCACAGCUAUAACCGUCCAAAGUGCAUAAGUUUGUGUGAGACACAGACGCAACCAUUUUUAACACAUUUUCUGUAGC